Molecule: ribosomal RNA, 492 nt
Filed under: uncultured bacterium
Lineage: Bacteria
Description: partial 16S ribosomal RNA
Rfam family: Bacterial small subunit ribosomal RNA
Source: RNAcentral
AGUGAACGCUGGCGGUAGGCCUAACACAUGCAAGUCGAACGGCAGCACAGUAAGAGCUUGCUCUUACGGGUGGCGAGUGGCGGACGGGUGAGGAAUACAUCGGAAUCUACUUUUUCGUGGGGGAUAACGUAGGGAAACUUACGCUAAUACCGCAUACGACCUACGGGUGAAAGCAGGGGAUCUUCGGACCUUGCGCGAUUGAAUGAGCCGAUGUCGGAUUAGCUAGUUGGCGGGGUAAAGGCCCACCAAGGCGACGAUCCGUAGCUGGUCUGAGAGGAUGAUCAGCCACACUGGAACUGAGACACGGUCCAGACUCCUGCGGGAGGCAGCAGUGGGGAAUAUUGGACAAUAGGCGCAAGCCUGAUCCAGCCAUACCGCGUGGGUGAAGAAGGCCUUCGGGUUGUAAAGCCCUUUUGUUGGGAAAGAAAAGCAGCAGGUUAAUACCACGCUGUUCUGACGGUACCCAAAGAAUAAGCACCGGCUAACUUCGUG